GUUUUUUGGCUCUUGCAUCGAUGAAGAUGCAGCGAACUGCGAUAAGUAAUGUGAAUUGCAGAUUCAGUGAAUCAUCGAAUCUUUGAACGCAUCUGCGCUCCUGGUAUUCCGAGGAGCAUGCCUGUUUGAGUGUCAUAAAUUCUGUCAAAACAUGCACUUGAGUGUGUUUCGGAUUGUGGGAGUGUCUGCUGGCUUUAUGAGCCAGCUCUCGUGAAACACAUUAGCUUUGGGGGGGAGGUGCCAAGUCACUUCUGCCUUUCCAUUGGUGUGAUAGAUGAAUUAACUUAUCUACGCCAGGAAAGCAGGCUUCAGGUGAUGCAGCUGUGAUCUCUCUCUGCUCUCUAAUUGACANUUGUCUGAUAACUUGACCUCAAAUCAGGUAGGACUACCCGCGAAUCUUAAGCAUAUCAAUAAGCGGAGGAAAAGAAACUCACAAGNAUUCCCUUAGUAACUGCGAGUGAAGAGGGAAGAGCUCAAAUUUAUAAUCCGGCAGUGUUUUGCUGUCCGAGUUGUAAUCUAGAGAAGUGCUGUCCGUGCUGGACCAUGUACAAGUCUCCUGGAAUGGAGCGUCACAGAGGGUGAGAAUCCCGUCUUUGACAUGGACUACCAGUGCAUUUGUGGUGUGCUCUCAAAGAGUCGAGUUGUUUGGGAAUGCAGCUCUAAAUGGGUGAUAAACAUCCAUCUUACACACGCUCACACAUUGGCGAGCAGACCGACUAGCAAGCCAAGCUCCUUCAGUAGAGUGAACAAGAGAACUGCAAAGCGUUCCCCUUUCCGAGGGA
RNAcentral lists this ribosomal RNA (782 nucleotides) under uncultured Amanitaceae. Its description in RNAcentral is "eukaryotic LSU rRNA". The stretch from base 366 to 782 matches the Rfam family "Eukaryotic large subunit ribosomal RNA", at positions 1 to 424 of the family's 3401-position model. The record is from RNAcentral. Lineage: Eukaryota; Fungi; Basidiomycota; Agaricomycetes; Agaricales; Amanitaceae.